RNAcentral lists this ribosomal RNA (465 nucleotides) under uncultured bacterium. RNAcentral's name for it is "partial 16S ribosomal RNA". It matches the Rfam family "Bacterial small subunit ribosomal RNA", at positions 28 to 507 of the family's 1533-position model. The record is from RNAcentral.
GACGAACGCUGGCGGCGUGCUUAACACAUGCAAGUCGAACGGAAAGGCCCCUUCGGGGGUACUCGAGUGGCGAACGGGUGAGUAACACGCGAGUAACCUGCCCUUGACUUCGGGAUAACUUCAGGAAACUGGGGCUAAUACCGGAUAGGAAUCCUUGCCGCAUGGUGGGGGUUGGUAAGCUUCGGCGGUUUUGGAUGGACUCGCGGCGUAUCAGCUUGUUGGUGGGGUAGUGGCUUACCAAGGCUUUGACGGGUAGCCGGCCUGAGAGGGCGACCGGCCACAUUGGGACCGGGAGACGGCCCAAGCUCCGACGGGAGGCAGCAGUGGGGAAUAUUGCACAAUGGGCGGGAGCCUGAUGCAGCAACGCCGCGGGCGGGAUGACGGCCUUCGGGUUGUAAACCGCUUUCAGCAGGGGCGAAGCUUGUGGUGACGGUACCUGCAGAAGAAGCACCGGCUAACUACGUG